AAAAUAGUGGCUAUGGGUGAUCCUGUACCAUUGAGUGAGCUUUUAGCAGCUGGUCCAGGGGCUUAUUGGAAAGUAGCACAAGUAACUUCUGAGCUGGUUUCUAAAUCAAAUGACAAUGGUAGAGAUGUGGACAAUUUUGGAGGUUCAGAUACUUCUGCUAGGCAGUCAAAAGAAGUUCCAUCAGAUAAGAAAGAAAAUCAGAUCACUAACCAUGGGAAGUCACCUACUUUUAGAGACAUAUCUAGUGAGGACCAUGGGAGAUUGUUAGAUGUUGUCUCUGGCUCUGGUGCAGCCAUUGCAAAGGACGCCAAAGGGCAAAAGGGCCGCAAG
This 330-nucleotide unclassified non-coding RNA is filed under the name Hevea brasiliensis (rubber tree). The record is from RNAcentral. Lineage: Eukaryota; Viridiplantae; Streptophyta; Magnoliopsida; Malpighiales; Euphorbiaceae.